Molecule: long non-coding RNA, 1872 nt
Organism: Oncorhynchus tshawytscha (Chinook salmon)
Lineage: Eukaryota; Metazoa; Chordata; Actinopteri; Salmoniformes; Salmonidae
Source: Ensembl
ACAGUUAGAUGGAGAUGUGUGAUGUCGGUUCUUUCCGAUGAGUUCAAGGUUCUUUAUGAUGAGUUCUUAGUAUCCCAUUGUAACAGGUCGGGGACAGUCAAUGUGGACAAGUGGAGUCAAAGAGAGCUGUCUGAAUGGGACAUCAACAGGAUCAGCAAUGGUGGCGGCAGGAUAUUUUCACUGGGGCCUAUUUUUGACGGCACUUCAGCACUGUCUUGCCCCGGCCCAAAGCCGCCACUGAGGAUUAGGAAUUCCCGAAUGUCCAAGCCCUUUAGAAUACCAAGCGCAGUAUCACAGAGUGUCAAUGUCUCACGGGUAAACACUGCUAGGACCCAACACCUACAUGAUUUUAAGACCGACACACUGCAGGACAGCCGGAGUCAGCUCAGAGCUGAUACCAGCCUAAAGAGCAUUGAUCUUAAGCAGUACAGGAAAUCAAUCCAUGUGAGGAAUGGUGGUUUGAAGCCUUUGAAACCUGUUGGCCCACAGAGACCAAGUGUAUUCCAGUGUGCUGGCAUAACUUCAGACCCUAUGAAGAAUGUGCAAGAGAAAUACCACCAGGGUGACAACACGGCUCCUGUGUUCAGGCGCUUCUAUGAGGUGAUGCUUGAGGAGCCACAGAGAAGACGUCAAGACAGGCAAAGAUCUGCCCACACAUCAGGAACGUUUGGAGGUCACAUGGAUGAUGAACACCUAGAGACUGCAACAUCAGAUUACUGCCUGGAGGUCCCUAGCUGCUCCCCAGACUCCCUGCAGCUUCAGCUAGAGGGCCUGUGUCUGCAGGGGGAGUGGGGCCAGCUGGGUGGGGGUAAGAGGUAUAGCUCACUACCUACAAGUCACCCAGUAAAAGAGACUUUCUUCAAGAGUAUGGUGUCAAAAGACUCCCAUAAGGACGCAGGGUGUGCGAGUGGCAGGAAAAUAGAGGACACAAGUAAAGAGGACAGUUCGAAGGACACAGCAGACCCUUUCUUCAUUAACAAGUGGGAUCCAGGCCAGCUUAAAGUCACCUUCACACUUAAAGACUCAAAUGAGCAGAUGAUAAAGAGCAUCCUCCAAAAGCCACCCUCUUCCUGAAACUCAGCAAGAAUCGAGUCCAUAUUCUUUAUAGUGGUCACUUGACAUCAGAGGUGAAAAAAGUACCCAAUUGUCAUACUUGAGUAAAAGUAAAGAUACCGUAAUCGAAAGUGACUUAAGCAAAAGUGAAUUUCACCCAGUGAAAUACUACUUGAGUAAAGGUUUAAAAGUAUUGUUUUUAAAUAUACGUAAGUAUCAAAAGUAAAAAUGAUUUCAAAUUCCUUAUAUUAAGCCAUACAGACAGCACCAUUUUUUUUACAUUUACGGACAGCUAGGGGCACACUCCAGACAUAAUUUAUAAAUUCACCAUGUGUGUUUAGUGAGUCCGCCAGAUCAUAGACAGUAGAGAUGACCAGGGGUGUUCUCUUGAUAAAGAGUGUGAAUUGGACCCUUUUCCUGUCCUGCUAAGCACUUAAAAUGUAACGUGUACUGUUGGGUGUCAGGGAAAAUGUAUGGAGUAAAAUGUACAUCACUUUCUUUAGGAAUGUAGUGAAGUAAAAGUUGUCAAAAAUAUAAAUAGUAAAGUACAGAAAAAAAUACUUCAGUAGUACUUAAAAGUUGUGUAAGUAAAAAUACUUUAACUUUACACUGCUGCUCUACAUUGUGAGGUCUAAGAUUAAAUUAAAAAAGGGCAACAUUCUGUAUGUCUGAUAUUUUAACUCCUGUAUGAGUCAUUGCUGCCCUUGACAACUUCCAUUUUUUAUACUAUUUUUGGAAUUCAAGAGACACUAUAAGGUCAAAAGUAUAUGGACACCUGCUUGUCGAACAUCUCAUUCCAAAUUAAUGGGCAUUAAUAUG